Molecule: long non-coding RNA, 504 nt
Filed under: Homo sapiens (human)
Lineage: Eukaryota; Metazoa; Chordata; Mammalia; Primates; Hominidae
Description: non-protein coding lnc-TSPAN1-1:5
Source: RNAcentral
AGUUACUAAGCGGGACAAAGGCAGAAGGGGAAAAGAAAAGAGGAGGAAAAAAAAGAAAGAAAGAAAGGAAGAAAACGCAAACGGCGGUUACUGACAGGCUGGGCGAGCGCUCGGGGGCUCAAACUGCCUGGAGACAGGCGGGGCUCCUGCUGAGGCUUGGUCCGCCCGGACGAGUAAGGAGAGGAGCCAGGGAGGACCUGCUGGCGUGAGACGCCUCUGCCCGGUAGAAGAUACUGGAAGAUCAACUCUAAUUUGUGGCUGCCUUCCCAGCAGUCUCUACUUCAGCAUAUCUGGGAGCCAGAAGCACUCAAGUUUGAUAACUCAAAAGACAGAACAAUCAGUCAAGGAGAUGGAUGAAAUAUUUCUUCUGUGCUCUGAAUAUAGGGUAUGAUCUCAGAGCUCUCUGUGCCAGCAGAAUCAGUCUGGAACUCAGCCAGAAGUUCUUCGUGAUUAAAGGUGCCAUCUGAGCGCACAAUAUUUUUUUAAAAGCCUUGCAAAAUGGGG